This 65-nucleotide transfer RNA is filed under the name Dipodomys ordii (Ord's kangaroo rat). It matches the Rfam family "tRNA". Rfam says of the family: Transfer RNA (tRNA) molecules are approximately 80 nucleotides in length. Their secondary structure includes four short double-helical elements and three loops (D, anti-codon, and T loops). Lineage: Eukaryota; Metazoa; Chordata; Mammalia; Rodentia; Heteromyidae. The record is from Rfam by way of RNAcentral.
GGUGGCUUAGUGGUAGAGUACUUGCCUAUCAUGCAUGAGGCCCUGGGUUCGAUUCCUCAGCACCA